Molecule: ribosomal RNA, 268 nt
Filed under: uncultured bacterium
Lineage: Bacteria
Description: partial 16S ribosomal RNA
Rfam family: Bacterial small subunit ribosomal RNA
Source: RNAcentral
UACGUAGGGCGCAAGCGUUGUCCGGAAUUAUUGGGCGUAAAGAGCUCGUAGGCGGUUUGUCGCGUCUGCUGUGAAAGCCCGGGCCCAACCCGGGUCUGCAGUGGGUACGGGCAGACUAGAGUGCAGUAGGGGAGACUGGAAUUCCUGGUGUAGCGGUGAAAUGCGCAGAUAUCAGGAGGAACACCGAUGGCGAAGGCAGGUCUCUGGGCUGUUACUGACGCUGAGGAGCGAAAGCAUGGGGAGCGAACAGGAUUAGAUACCCGGUGUC